CAACCCUCAAGCCCUCCCUUCGGGGACCGGGCCUGGUGUUGGGGACCGGCCGCCUCCCCCGGCGGCCGACCCCGAAAUACAGUGGCGGUCACGCCGCGUAUCCCUUGCGUAGUAGAAACACCUCGCACCGGAGAGCGACGCGGUCCACGCCGUAAAACCCCCAAUUUUUAAU
RNAcentral lists this unclassified non-coding RNA (172 nucleotides) under uncultured Hypocreales. RNAcentral describes it as "sequence contains ITS2". Lineage: Eukaryota; Fungi; Ascomycota; Sordariomycetes; Hypocreales. The record is from RNAcentral.